AUAGCUUUCACUUUUUCCCAGCAUUUGUUUUGAAAAUAUUUUUUCGAAAGACAAAUUUAUGCAAGGCGAGAAAAUAAUGAGUAAUGAAUGUGUAGUAAAAAAAUAUGAUUCUAAAGAUUACUGUGAGAUGAUUGUAUGUUUGAAAAAACAUCAACUUGCAAUAAAAUACAUUGACAUGUUAGAAUCUACAUUCAAAUAUGCGACAUUUCUCAUCUUGUGUUUGAACGUAAUUCUUCUGAGUUUAGUCGGAAUACAAUUGUAGGAUCGAUCACUCAUCUCUUGAGCAUGUGUUUACCGGGACAAUUACUUCUGGAUAAAAGUAUUGGAGUGUUCGA
Molecule: long non-coding RNA, 335 nt
Organism: Camponotus floridanus (Florida carpenter ant)
Lineage: Eukaryota; Metazoa; Arthropoda; Insecta; Hymenoptera; Formicidae
Exons: 3
Source: RefSeq, a predicted model, not a curated record